UACGGAGGGUGCAAGCGUUAUCCGGAUUCACUGGGUUUAAAGGGUGCGUAGGAGGGUAGGAAAGUCAGUGGUGAAAUCUCCGGGCUUAACUCGGAAACUGCCGUUGAUACUACUUAUCUUGAAUAUCGUGGAGGUGAGCGGAAUAUGUCAUGUAGCGGUGAAAUGCUUAGAUAUGACAUAGAACACCAAUUGCGAAGGCAGCUCACUACCCGAAUAUUGACUCUGAGGCACGAAAGCGUGGGGAUCAAACAGG
This 253-nucleotide ribosomal RNA is filed under the name uncultured bacterium. Its description in RNAcentral is "partial 16S ribosomal RNA". It matches the Rfam family "Bacterial small subunit ribosomal RNA", at positions 524 to 776 of the family's 1533-position model. The record is from RNAcentral.